RNAcentral lists this ribosomal RNA (618 nucleotides) under Bacillus thuringiensis. Its description in RNAcentral is "bacterial SSU rRNA". It matches the Rfam family "Bacterial small subunit ribosomal RNA", at positions 74 to 679 of the family's 1533-position model. The record is from RNAcentral. Lineage: Bacteria; Bacillati; Bacillota; Bacilli; Caryophanales; Bacillaceae.
CAUUGCUCUUAUGAAGUUAGCGGCGGACGGGUGAGUAACACGUGGGUAACCUGCCCAUAAGACUGGGAUAACUCCGGGAAACCGGGGCUAAUACCGGAUAACAUUUUGAACCGCAUGGUUCGAAAUUGAAAGGCGGCUUCGGCUGUCACUUAUGGAUGGACCCGCGUCGCAUUAGCUAGUUGGUGAGGUAACGGCUCACCAAGGCAACGAUGCGUAGCCGACCUGAGAGGGUGAUCGGCCACACUGGGACUGAGACACGGCCCAGACUCCUACGGGAGGCAGCAGUAGGGAAUCUUCCGCAAUGGACGAAAGUCUGACGGAGCAACGCCGCGUGAGUGAUGAAGGCUUUCGGGUCGUAAAACUCUGUUGUUAGGGAAGAACAAGUGCUAGUUGAAUAAGCUGGCACCUUGACGGUACCUAACCAGAAAGCCACGGCUAACUACGUGCCAGCAGCCGCGGUAAUACGUAGGUGGCAAGCGUUAUCCGGAAUUAUUGGGCGUAAAGCGCGCGCAGGUGGUUUCUUAAGUCUGAUGUGAAAGCCCACGGCUCAACCGUGGAGGGUCAUUGGAAACUGGGAGACUUGAGUGCAGAAGAGGAAAGUGGAAUUCCAUGUGUAGC